GAUGAAGAACGUAGCGAAAUGCUAUAAGUAGUGUGAAUUGCAGAAUUCAGUGAAUCAUCGAAUCUUUGAACGCACAUUGCGCCCCUUGGUAUCCCGAGGGGCAUGCCUGUUCGAGCGUCAUUUCACCACUCAAGCCUGGCUUGGUGUUGGGCGACGUCCUCUUUGGGGACGCGCCUCGAAACGCUCGGCGGCGUGGCACCGGCUUUAAGCGUAGCAGAAUCUUUCGCUUUGGAAGUCGGGGCCCCGUCUGCCGGAAGACCUGCUCGCAAGGUUGACCUCGGAUCAGGCAGGGAUACCCGCUGAACUUAAGCAUAUCAAUAAGCGGAGGA
RNAcentral lists this unclassified non-coding RNA (329 nucleotides) under soil metagenome. RNAcentral's name for it is "partial contains 5.8S ribosomal RNA, internal transcribed spacer 2, and large subunit ribosomal RNA". The stretch from base 1 to 120 matches the Rfam family "5.8S ribosomal RNA", at positions 35 to 154 of the family's 154-position model. The record is from RNAcentral.